RNAcentral lists this ribosomal RNA (495 nucleotides) under uncultured bacterium. Its description in RNAcentral is "partial 16S ribosomal RNA". It matches the Rfam family "Bacterial small subunit ribosomal RNA", at positions 28 to 507 of the family's 1533-position model. The record is from RNAcentral.
GACGAACGCUGGCGGCGUGCCUAAUACAUGCAAGUAGAACGCUGAAGGAGGAGCUUGCUUCUCUGGAUGAGUUGCGAACGGGCGAGUAACGCGUAGGUAACCUGCCUGGUAGCGGGGGAUAACUAUUGGAAACGAUAGCUAAUACCGCAUAAGAGUAGAUGUCGCAUGACAUUUGCUUAAAAGGUGCAAUUGCAUCACUACCAGAUGGACCUGCGUUGUAUUAGCUAGUUGGUGAGGUAACGGCUCACCAAGGCAACGAUACAUAGCCGACCUGAGAGGGUGAUCGGCCACACUGGGACUGAGACACGGCCCAGACUCCUACGGGAGGCAGCAGUAGGGAAUCUUCGGCAAUGGACGGAAGUCUGACCGAGCAACGCCGCGUGAGUGAAGAAGGUUUUCGGAUCGUAAAGCUCUGUUGUAAGAGAAGAACGAGUGUGAGAGUGGAAAGUUCACACUGUGACGGUAUCUUACCAGAAAGGGACGGCUAACUACGUG